CCGGUCCUCCGACGCGAGCGCGCGCGCGCCCGCUUCCCGAAACACACCCACAGCGCGCACGGGGCGGCGCGGAAAGGGAGAGACUCAGCCGCGGGCCCGCCCCUCCGUCGCGGCCUAACGCCGCCACCAAUCAGCGACGAGUGAGGGAGGGGCGGGGUUUGUUGUGGAAGACCCACCCCCUCCUCUUCUAAAUUGCUUCUCCGACCUUUGGGUUCAGAGAAUUGGGAACCGGUCGUUCGCUGUCCUUUUUCGGUUCUUUGGUCAGAGGUCUGGGACUGCGACUUCUUGAUUACUUAUGUACCAUUUAUUUUCACUUGAAACCGGCAGCAAGUUAAGGUGGUUUAGAAUCUGUCCUGACGGGUGGCGUUUGGAAGCAGCACUUUACAAAACGCCUGGUCCUCUCCCUUCUUUGUCAAACCUGGUCAAAGUUAGGACUUGAGCUUUUUUUGGAGGAUCUGAGGAGCAGUGGGGAGUGGGGAAUUAGCCGCCCAAGUCCUUAAAGCUGUCACGUGCAUCAGUAUUUCCACCUCCAACGUCAGUCCAAUUCCUAUUAAUGCUUUGCUUUGUAUGGAUAGCUAAAGAUGUUUUAGAAGAUAAGGGUUGAGGCUACCGAUCCUAAGUAUUUGCAUUUUAACAUGGUGAUUUCUGAUAAAUAAAAGGAUAACCUUUCUGGGUUCUUAGGAGCAAAGAAGAUAAUGGCUGCGGAAUUGCUCUACAGCAUAAUGUAUAAGAAUUUCGUUGGGUCAUUAAUAAAUAAUGCAAUUAUUUUAUCACAUUUUCAAUAUCCUGAAGGGCAUUAGGGUUCAAACCGAGCCAAUCCUGACUCUGAUUAUACUAUCUGCCAAAACCUUUGUUCCUUUCACAGCUAAGGGUUUUUAUAAAAAUGGAUUCAGGGUCUGCUGAAAUAAAUUUUUUUUAAAAAUUUCAGUCCAUAAACCAAACAAAAAUAUCUGUCCUGGAAUGUGAUCAGGAACAAACCAGAAAACUGUGAACAUCUGAUCUUGAUACUGGCUUAUGUUGUCUCUUGUUAAGCUUUUGCUUCUUUGCAUUAUUCAUGACCAUUCAAUUAAUUUUUGUAUAGCCAUACAGGUAGGAUUAUUACCAAGUGCCUACCGUGUACCAGGAAUAGUUCUAAGCCUUGAGAAUACAGCACUAAUAAGGCAGACUCCCUGCUCAAAUAGAGCCAACUAAUGAAAAAUCGAUAAAAUAGAGACUAAAGAGAGAUCCUUAGUUGCGUUUAAAAUCUUAGUUUUUAACUUCCAGGCUGGCACAGUUUGUUAACAAAAAAAGAAAAAAAAGGAUUUUUAUUGAAUGCCAUCUAUACUGCAAGUGAUACAGAGAUUGUACUGAUCACUUUCUACACUCAAAAGUAUAUAAUCAGGUAGAGUUAAUAAAAUAAAAACAAAUCUGAAAUGUAAAACAAAAAAAUACCCUGGGAAGUUACAUAGCAAAGGAGGAAGGAAUUACAGCCCUGGUAAUGUGGGACAACACAGUGUGCAAAUUAUUUAACACAAAGCCUAAACAAGACACAUUAUUAUUAUAGCAUGUUUUAGGGAAAUAAUUCUUGUUGUUGAACUGCAAGUACAGGUAUAUCUAAGAGAUACUCAGAAGGCUGGUCCUGAUAAACAAUGCAUGUAUAAAAGAGUAAGCAGAAAUAAGCCUGGAAAGGUAAGUUAUGGUAGAAAACCAGGUCAAGAAGUUGACUUUAUAUCAGGGAAAUUACAUGUAAAACAAGCAUCGCUACACAGGCAACCAUUUACCAGUUAUAUGUGGAGAGUGAGUGAUGGACCCAAAAGGAAGACUGAUAGGAGGGGCAUUUCGGAAACAAACUCUAUGUUACUUAGCAACUGCCUAAAUAAGAGUGGGGGUCUGCAAAGCAUAGAGUGAAUGCAGAUUGUGAACACUCAAAUGAAACUAGUAUUAUUAUUAUGACACCACAGUUUUUAACUUGACUUACUGGUAGUGCUAAAAACACAUAAAAGUCCACAAAAAGAGCAGGAGAGGGAUGGGAUAGGGAAUUUUCUUAUUCUGUUUUAUUUUUCCAAGUGUUUCUUUAGAUUUUCUAGACAUUUAUAUCACCUACAUUAGAUAUCAUUUUGCCUUUUCCGUUCCAAUUAUUAUAUUUCCAAUUGUUUAUUCAUUUCAGUAGCUAAUAUUUCCAACAUGAUAUUCAGUCAGAUGGGGACAACUGAUAUCUUUUUGUUCCUGAUUUGAGCAGGAAAUUUCCUUUCAUUUCUCCAUCAAGUAAGAUGUUGGCUUUGAGAUGGAAAUUGUGUGUGUGUGUGUACAUGUAUCAUUAUAUAAUAUAUAUUGCAUAUUGAUAGGAAAUAUCUAUUCCUAUUGGGAAAUUUUUAAAAAUAUAAACAAGUGCUAAAUUGUUUUCAGAUGCAUUUUCCCUAUCUUAUUUCCUCUACUUCUUUCCUCUAUCUUAUUUCCUCUGCUUAUUUAAUGGGUUAUAUGAAUAGAUUUUAUAAUAUUGGCCCAGUAAGCAUUCCUGGAAUAAACUCCACCUGGUCAUGAUGAAUUAGUUUUUAAUAUGCUCUUGUGCUUUCUU
Molecule: long non-coding RNA, 2554 nt
Filed under: Homo sapiens (human)
Lineage: Eukaryota; Metazoa; Chordata; Mammalia; Primates; Hominidae
Description: non-protein coding lnc-ASB5-2:1
Source: RNAcentral